GCGGUAAUAGUUUAAUGGUAAAAUUUUUGACUUCCAAUCAAGUAAUGUGGGUUCGAUUCUCACUUACCGCUA
Molecule: transfer RNA, 72 nt
Filed under: Ulva meridionalis
Lineage: Eukaryota; Viridiplantae; Chlorophyta; Ulvophyceae; Ulvales; Ulvaceae
Also listed under: 3 other names
Description: tRNA-Gly
Rfam family: tRNA
About the family: Transfer RNA (tRNA) molecules are approximately 80 nucleotides in length.
Source: RNAcentral